AGUGGCGGACGGGUGAGUAAUGCUUGGGAACUUGCCUUUGCGAGGGGGAUAACCAUUGGAAACGAUGGCUAAUACCGCAUAAUGUUUUCGAACCAAAGUGGGCUUCGGCUCACGCGCAAAGAGAGGCCCAAGUGAGAUUAGCUAGUUGGUAAGGUAAAGGCUUACCAAGGCAACGAUCUCUAGCUGUUCUGAGAGGAAGAUCAGCCACACUGGGACUGAGACACGGCCCAGACUCCUACGGGAGGCAGCAGUGGGGAAUAUUGCACGAUGGGGGGAACCCUGAUGCAGCCAUGCCGCGUGUGUGAAGAAGGCCUUCGGGUUGUAAAGCACUCUCAGUGGUGAGGAAAAGAUAGUAGUUAAUACCUGCUAUCCGUGACGUUAACCACAGAAGAAGCACCGGCUAACUCCGUGCCAGCAGCCGCGGUAAUACGGAGGGUGCGAGCGUUAAUCGGAAUUACUGGGCGUAAAGCGCACGCAGGCGGUUUGUUAAGCUAGAUGUGAAAGCCCGGCGCUUAACGUGGGAUGGUCAUUUAGAACUGGCAGACUAGAGUCUUGGAGAGGGGAGUGGAAUUUCUGGUGUAGCGGUGAAAUGCGUAGAGAUCAGAAGGAACAUCAAUGGCGAAGGCAGCUCUCUGGCCAAAGACUGACGCUCAUGUGCGAAAGUGUGGGUAGCGAACAGGAUUAGAUACCCUGGUAGUCCACACCGUAAACGCUGUCUACUAGCUGUAUGUGUAUU
This 736-nucleotide ribosomal RNA is filed under the name uncultured marine bacterium. RNAcentral describes it as "bacterial SSU rRNA". It matches the Rfam family "Bacterial small subunit ribosomal RNA", at positions 94 to 832 of the family's 1533-position model. The record is from RNAcentral.